UAUUAUAUAUUUUUGUUGCUUCUUUUAUUUUAUAUUUUUAACAAAUUGAGACCCUUCUCUAUAUAUUUCGUAAUCUUCUUUGUUUAGAGAAAUAUAUUCCUGUAACAUAUUUCCAUAACAUUAAAUGACCUUCUAUAACAUUUUAAAUAACUACAGAGUAUUCCAUGUUAAGGAUGUAUCAUAAUGGACUUAGUCAUUAUAUCUUUUAUAUGGUUUAAAAAAAGAUACUUCUUAAAUUUUCUAGCUCUUCAAGAGCUGAGCUUCAUUUUUUACAUCAUCAAUAAAGUACCUCACAUACCAAGGAGACACAUUAUGUGUUUCAUAAUAAUAACCUUGCAGCUUUGGACUUUUCGGUUUUUGUCCAAACUCCCUUUUCUCUUUUUAUCCUCUUGCUGCAUUUUGCCUACUUGGACAUUUUCUUUUUGCUUCUUCCACCUGUUCUGUGUGUCUUUCACUUUGCCACCAGUAUGUAGCUUUAUUGCUGCAUCUGUUUCUUUUCUGGUAGAAAUAGGUCAAACGUAAAAUCAAUAACCUGCUUCUCAGCCCAAAAUAAACCUACAGGUGUUGAUGUCUUUUGCUUUAGUCCACAGUUUUAUUCUCAAGUGCAGUGCGUAAACCAUUUAGUGUUUUACACCGAAAAUACGAGCUCCUGAGAACCAAGAAAGUGUAAUCUUAUCUUGUGAGGCAGCGUAGUUAAAAAUACGUAUAAGGCCAUGCAGUAUGGUUUACACCUGUAAUCUCAAUACUUUGGGAGGCCAGACAGGAGGAUCGCUUGAGCCCAUAAGUUUGAGACCAGACUGGGCAACAUAGCAAAACCUUGUCUCUACUGAAAACUUAAAAAUAAAAAUUAGCCAGGCAUGGUGUCAUACACCUGUAGUCCCAGCUAUUUGGGAGGCUGAGGUGGGAGGACUUCUUGAGGCCAGAAGUUUGAGGUUGCAGUGAGUUAUGAUCAUGCCACCGCACUCCAGCCUGGGCGACAGAGUGAGACUUAACCUCAAACAAAACAAACCAUACAGGCUUUAGUUGAGAGUCAUAUUGAUUGGGAUUCAGAUCCUAGCUUUUGCAUCUUAUUUAGCUAUAUAACAUUGGAACAGAUUGCUCUGAGUUUCCAGUUCCUCGUCUGUAAAAUGGGAAUGAUUAUACAUUGGAGGUUGGUGAGAGAAUUAAAUAUGAGAUAAUAUAUAGAAGAUGUUAAAGCACAAUAAGUUGUAUGCAUUAUUGGAAAUACUGUCUGACCACCACCACAUACCAAAAAAAAAAAAAAAAAAAAAAAUUAGGGAAAGCAACCAAAUAUGUAACCCGUUGUAUCUGGGACUAAGCAUCCUUUCUGUAUCAUUAGGACUUGGGAAACUUCUUCCACAAUUUUAGUGGGAUUAUAUUGGAGUCUGAAUCUUACUUUAGUGGCCAGAUUCAGUGUGUAGUAACAGUUAAGGUCUAGGAUGCUUCUAAUUGUUCAUUUCAUAGGUGGAAAAGGAAGAUGGAUACUUACUGCAAAGUAUACAGCAAAUUUUGUCUGGGAGCAAGACAUACAUAAGAGAAAGAAUUUGAAAUGACUCCAGCUUUGGUUGGGCAAAUUCUGACAAUUAUUUUUAAAUGUAAGCCCAAUGAAGUCAAAUAUCUAUAGUGACUGUUAUCUCCAGAUGAAUUUUGAGAAAAAAAAAAUAGAAUUGUUAUAAAUUAAAUGAAGCUUCAGAAAGAUAGGACUCAAUUUAGUCAUAUUGGUGGUUUUUUAAAAAAUUCUAAAUCUUUACAUUGUAUUUUAAUGCCAUAAACUCAUUAUCACUGUAUAGGAUGUUGUCAGUUAGGCUUACUAACGCUCCUUUUCCACCCCCCAACACACACAAAUCAUAUAUCUGAUUUAAAUCAGAACUCUGUCUCACACAUACACACACACUCUCACACUCUCUCUCACACACACAUGCACACACCCAUGCUGCUGGAAAUUUGGGGAAUCACACUGAGUUGAGAAUCAGAAAGUAACUGAGAUUCUUAUCUUUGGAAGGAAAGGUAAGUAAGUAGCUGAGGAGUUCCUAUUCUUCUGUCAGCUCAUCAGCCAGAGAUGAGAUCUGGUGCCACUCCAAACCCUGCCUGAUGGGUUAAACCAGUAUUAGGGUUAUUUAUUCUGUUCAGUACUUACUGAGUACCUGCUAAGUAUUUAGGGAGAGAAAAGAAAAGUGUAUAGACGAUGUUAUCUCUUCUAAUAAAGCAUCAUUUUUGCGGGGGAGGGGUUGCUUUUUAUUUUGUACAUGAAUACAUGAAGUGGCACAACAUUCAAAAGAGAUUAAAAGGAUAGGCAGUAAAAAGUAAGUCUUCUUUCCCUGUCCCUAGCCCACCUAGUUCUGCUACCUUGAGGCAACUACAGUUAUAGUUUCAAAGUAUAAUUUUUAAUAUUUUUAAAAUACUUUAAUACUUUAAAAAUCAGAACAUUUAUCUAGGAAUAGAAUAAUAUAGCAGUCAUAGGGACACACUUUGACACAUCACAUAAGAAAUUAGGUAAAGAGCCAGGUAUAUCGUGGCAUGUGCCAGUAAGUCCCAACUACUUGGGAAGGUGAGGCAGGAGGAUCACUUGAGUCCAAAAGUUCAAGUCCAGCCUAGGCAACAUGGUGAGAACCCAUCUCAAAAAAAAAAAAAAAAAGUGUAGCCCAUGCCUGUAAUCCUAGCACUUUGGGAGGCCGAGGCCGGUGGAUUUCCUGAGCUCAGUAGUUCGGGACCAGCCUGGGCAACACAGUGAAACCCCCUGUCUCUACUAAAAUACAAAAGAAAAAAAAAAAAUAAGCCAGGCAUGGCAGCAUGCACCUGUAGUCCCAGCUACUUGGGAGGCUGAGGCAGGAGAAUUGCUUGAACCCAGGAGGUGGAGGUUGCAGUGAGCCAAGAUCUCACCACUGCACUCCAGCCUGGGCAACAGAGUCAGGCUCCAUCUCCAAAAAAAAAAAAAAAAUUGUAAAAAAAAUAGGUAAAGUAAAUCAUUAAUUUCUAAAUCAAAUAAGUUCAGUCAUGACAGACAACAUAAAAUUUGUAUGUGGAAGUCUUGGGGCUUAAGAGAGGAUAAAAGUUAGAUUAACAUUAGAAGAAGGUAUGGAAAAUCUGUACACAAAACAGUACCUAUACUUUAGCAGGGCAGCCAGUGAAUCAGAAAUGUGUUAAAGGGAAAGAGGUCCUCUACUUAGAUCCAAUAACUGUGUCUUUAGCAUCUCAACCUCCUGAAAGUAAGAAGCUGGGGAGUUGGGGGUAGCUAGAGGGAGAGACCAGACCAUCCAUUUGCACAGAAUAUUCAAAAGAGUCUGUAGAACUUUGAGAAAAACCUUGCAGAGUGUACAUCUUCACCUAAGACUAGAAUAGCUAAUGCGAUUGUGAAAUGGAAUAUUUAUUUAGUGUGUAAGAUUUGUGUUGAUGGGUGGGGGGGGGAUCCUUUGUCAUUUAUUUAAAAGUAAUAUAAAAUUAUAAAAAUGUUUGUUACUGGCCCGGCAGAGCCAAUUUGGCAGUCUAGAAAAAGUCUGGAUUUAUAAGCAAACUAAUGGAAAUAGGAAGGAUUUUUUUAGUAAUAGUUUUGAGGCAACUUUGUGAGGAGGGAAUAAGUUGAUUUACAGACCCAUCUCAAACUAUCUAUAAACAUAUAUAUACAUAUAUACACAUGAACAUCUUAACUUUAUGUAAGCCUGGUCCUAUUUACUUUCAAAUGGACUGGAAUGAAAAGAAAUUAUACCUUAUUGCAUUUUUGUCAUGUAGUCCCAAGUAGGCAGCUUUGCUUCCUAAGAUUUCUGGGGUGGUUUCUUCAUAUUUGCUUUGUAUAUGGGAGCUCAUUUUUAGGAAGUUUUAUAACCGAAAUAUCUUCAAAUAAAUAUAUGCAAAUAAUACCACAAAACAGCAUAAGAGCCCUACUAAUGAUACAGUCAGCAGAUGCCAUAUAAUUGUGAACUGAAAGAGAUCACUUUUGGCUAAAUUAUAGAGCUCAGCUCAUUUUCACCUUUUCCUAAAAAGGUGACUCUAGGUAAAAGGUAGCUGAGCAGACCACAGCAACUCUUGUUCAGUUUGAUUAUUUUAAACUAGGAAACCAGGUAACUGCAGUAGAUGCCUGCUAUUAUGAGGGAUUAGAUAGGAGCAGUGAGCCAUUGCUCAGCUCCUGUUCAGUGUGGGGGUUCCCCAGCCAGUUCAUCACAGGUAUCAGAGGGCAAACACUGUGACAGGAGCUGUCAGGAGGACUAUACAAAGAGAAAGCAUUAUUGACAUAGCAAAGACAUGAGGUGACCUAGAUGUUUGUAAGCCACUCUGGCAGCUACAGCUGAGGGAGCAGGCCUGGUUAGAGAUUUCUCACAGGUGUUCUCCAGACCCGAACACUGUAGUUUUAUG
Molecule: long non-coding RNA, 4347 nt
Filed under: Homo sapiens (human)
Lineage: Eukaryota; Metazoa; Chordata; Mammalia; Primates; Hominidae
Description: non-protein coding lnc-PLEKHO2-3:1
Source: RNAcentral